RNAcentral lists this ribosomal RNA (252 nucleotides) under uncultured prokaryote. Its description in RNAcentral is "partial 16S rRNA". It matches the Rfam family "Archaeal small subunit ribosomal RNA", at positions 475 to 726 of the family's 1478-position model. The record is from RNAcentral.
ACCGGCAGCUCAAGUGGUGGCCAUUUUUAUUGGGCCUAAAGCGUUCGUAGCCGGUUUGAUAAGUCUCUGGUGAAAUCCCGCAGCUUAACUGUGGGACUUGCUGGAGAUACUAUUAGACUUGAGGUCGGGAGAGGUUAGGGGUACUCCCAGGGGAGGGGUGAAAUCCAAGAAGCCGGGGGGGAACACCCGUGGCGAAGGCGCCUAACUGGAACGAACCUGACGGUGAGUAACGAAACCCAUGGGCGCGAACUG